This 253-nucleotide ribosomal RNA is filed under the name uncultured bacterium. Its description in RNAcentral is "partial 16S ribosomal RNA". It matches the Rfam family "Bacterial small subunit ribosomal RNA", at positions 524 to 776 of the family's 1533-position model. The record is from RNAcentral.
UACGUAGGGUGCGAGCGUUGUCCGGAAUUACUGGGCGUAAAGAGCUCGUAGGCGGUUUGUCGCGUUGUUCGUGAAAUUCCCUGGCUUAACUGGGGGCGUGCGGGCGAUACGGGCAGACUGGAGUACUGCAGGGGAGACUGGAAUUCCUGGUGUAGCGGUGGAAUGCGCAGAUAUCAGGAGGAACACCGGUGGCGAAGGCGGGUCUCUGGGCAGUAACUGACGCUGAGGAGCGAAAGCGUGGGGAGCGAACAGG